RNAcentral lists this ribosomal RNA (460 nucleotides) under uncultured bacterium. Its description in RNAcentral is "partial 16S ribosomal RNA". It matches the Rfam family "Bacterial small subunit ribosomal RNA", at positions 338 to 795 of the family's 1533-position model. The record is from RNAcentral.
CCUACGGGUGGCAGCAGUGAGGAAUAUUGGUCAAUGGACGAGAGUCUGAACCAGCGAAGUAGCGUGAAGGAUGACUGCCCUCUGGGUUGUAAACUUCUUUUAUAUGGGAGUAAAAUGUUCCACGUUUGGGCUUUUGUAUGUACCAUAUGAAUUACGAUCGGCUAACUCCGUGCCAGCAGCCGCGGUAAUACGGCGGAUCCGAGCGUUAUCCGGAUUUAUUGGGUGUAAAGGGAGCGUAGGUGGAUUGUUAAGUCAGUUGUGAAAGUUUGCGGCUCAACCGUAAAAUUGCAGUUGAAACUGGCAGGCUUGAGUACAGUAGAGGUGGGCGGAAUUCGUGGUGUAGCGGUGAAAUGCUUAGAUAUCACGAAGAACUCCGAUUGCGAAGGCAGCUCACUGGACUGCAACUGACACUGAGGCUCGAAAGUGUGGGUAUCAAACAGGAUUAGAUACCCUUGUAGUC